UGCACUGACUCGAGGCUGCCUGACUGAC
Molecule: non-coding RNA, 28 nt
Filed under: Rattus norvegicus (Norway rat)
Lineage: Eukaryota; Metazoa; Chordata; Mammalia; Rodentia; Muridae
Source: RNAcentral